AAGCCGGGAACUUUAAGGAUACUGCCAGUGACAAACUGGAGGAAGGCGGGGACGACGUCAAGUCAUCAUGGCCCUUACGACCAGGGCUACACACGUGCUACAAUGGUCGGUACAAAGGGUUGCUACCUAGCGAUAGGAUGCUAAUCUCAAAAAGCCGAUCGUAGUCCGGAUUGGAGUCUGCAACUCGACUCCAUGAAGUCGGAAUCGCUAGUAAUCGCGGAUCAGAAUGCCCGCGGUCGAAUACGUUCCGGGCCUU
Molecule: ribosomal RNA, 256 nt
Filed under: uncultured Acinetobacter sp.
Lineage: Bacteria; Pseudomonadati; Pseudomonadota; Gammaproteobacteria; Moraxellales; Moraxellaceae
Description: partial 16S ribosomal RNA
Rfam family: Bacterial small subunit ribosomal RNA
Source: RNAcentral